AGGAUGAACGCUGGCGGCGUGCCUAACACAUGCAAGUCGAACGUCCUGUCUCGCAAGAGGCAGGGAGUGGCGGACGGGUGAGUACCACGUGGGUUAUCUACCGUGAGGUGAGGAAUACCGGCGAGAAAUCGCCGACAAGACCGCAUAGCCUCGGUGCAAGCCGAGGAAAGCUUUCUCGCAAGAGGGAGCGCCACACGAGGAGCCUGCGCCCGAUUAGCUAGCUGGUGGAGUAACGGUUCACCAGGGCGACGAUCGGUAGCUGGUCUGAGAGGACGAUCAGCCACACUGGGAUUGAGAACGGCCCAGACUCCUACGGGGGGCAGCAGUGAGGAAUUUUCGUCAAUGGGGGCAACCCUGAACGAGCAACGCCGCGUGCAGGAAGAAGGUUUUCGGAUCGUAAACUGCUUUUCUCGGGGAAGAGAACGGACGGUACCCGAGGAAUCAGCCCCGGCUAACUACGUGCCAGCAGCCGCGGUAA
This 478-nucleotide ribosomal RNA is filed under the name uncultured bacterium. RNAcentral's name for it is "SSU rRNA". It matches the Rfam family "Bacterial small subunit ribosomal RNA", at positions 26 to 523 of the family's 1533-position model. The record is from RNAcentral.